This 1459-nucleotide ribosomal RNA is filed under the name Serratia sp. DAP6. RNAcentral's name for it is "16S ribosomal RNA". It matches the Rfam family "Bacterial small subunit ribosomal RNA". Lineage: Bacteria; Pseudomonadati; Pseudomonadota; Gammaproteobacteria; Enterobacterales; Yersiniaceae. The record is from RNAcentral.
CAUGCAAGUCGAGCGGUAGCACAAGAGAGCUUGCUCUCUGGGUGACGAGCGGCGGACGGGUGAGUAAUGUCUGGGAAACUGCCUGAUGGAGGGGGAUAACUACUGGAAACGGUAGCUAAUACCGCAUAACGUCUUCGGACCAAAGUGGGGGACCUUCGGGCCUCACGCCAUCAGAUGUGCCCAGAUGGGAUUAGCUAGUAGGUGGGGUAAUGGCUCACCUAGGCGACGAUCCCUAGCUGGUCUGAGAGGAUGACCAGCCACACUGGAACUGAGACACGGUCCAGACUCCUACGGGAGGCAGCAGUGGGGAAUAUUGCACAAUGGGCGCAAGCCUGAUGCAGCCAUGCCGCGUGUGUGAAGAAGGCCUUCGGGUUGUAAAGCACUUUCAGCGAGGAGGAAGGGNAGUGUGUUAAUAGCACAUUNCAUUGACGUUACUCGCAGAAGAAGCACCGGCUAACUCCGUGCCAGCAGCCGCGGUAAUACGGAGGGUGCAAGCGUUAAUCGGAAUUACUGGGCGUAAAGCGCACGCAGGCGGUUUGUUAAGUCAGAUGUGAAAUCCCCGCGCUUAACGUGGGAACUGCAUUUGAAACUGGCAAGCUAGAGUCUUGUAGAGGGGGGUAGAAUUCCAGGUGUAGCGGUGAAAUGCGUAGAGAUCUGGAGGAAUACCGGUGGCGAAGGCGGCCCCCUGGACAAAGACUGACGCUCAGGUGCGAAAGCGUGGGGAGCAAACAGGAUUAGAUACCCUGGUAGUCCACGCUGUAAACGAUGUCGACUUGGAGGUUGUGCCCUUGAGGCGUGGCUUCCGGAGCUAACGCGUUAAGUCGACCGCCUGGGGAGUACGGCCGCAAGGUUAAAACUCAAAUGAAUUGACGGGGGCCCGCACAAGCGGUGGAGCAUGUGGUUUAAUUCGAUGCAACGCGAAGAACCUUACCUACUCUUGACAUCCAGAGAAUUCGCUAGAGAUAGCUUAGUGCCUUCGGGAACUCUGAGACAGGUGCUGCAUGGCUGUCGUCAGCUCGUGUUGUGAAAUGUUGGGUUAAGUCCCGCAACGAGCGCAACCCUUAUCCUUUGUUGNCAGCACGUAAUGGUGGGAACUCAAAGGAGACUGCCGGUGAUAAACCGGAGGAAGGUGGGGAUGACGUUCAAGUCAUCAUGGCCCUUACGAGUAGGGCUACACACGUGCUACAAUGGCGUAUACAAAGAGAAGCGAACUCGCGAGAGCCAGCGGACCUCAUAAAGUACGUCGUAGUCCGGAUCGGAGUCUGCAACUCGACUCCGUGAAGUCGGAAUCGCUAGUAAUCGUAGAUCAGAAUGCUACGGUGAAUACGUUCCCGGGCCUUGUACACACCGCCCGUCACACCAUGGGAGUGGGUUGCAAAAGAAGUAGGUAGCUUAACCUUCGGGAGGGCGCUUACCACUUUGUGAUUCAUGACUGGGGUGAAGUCGUAACAAGGUAACC